GUUUUUGAUGUCUAUCAAAUGUUAAAGUAACAAAUCGAAAACUCCCAGUGACUCGAAUAUAAAUUCUCAGCAAGAAGGAAACACCCAACAGGAUGGCAAUGGCGAGGCACCACAGGUGGCCUCACAAGUGCCAGCCGCAGAAGUUUCAGCCGAGGCAACUGUACUCAGUCCCGUUCCGGCUGGACAGCGACGGACCUAUCGAUAUACCGAAAGUCAACUGCGUUGGGUCGGGCGUCGAUUUCGCCCACCAACAUACGGUUACUUGAUGUUCUAAAACCAUAGAAAAACACACGACCUACAAAGAGGAUGCCAGAUGCCUUGGGCCCAGAAUGCAUUCUUCUAUGACACCUAAUGAUCCUACAACUAGCUCAAAGAUGGUUCUUCUACAACCUCUAAUGAUCCCACAAAUACCUCAAAGAUGGCUCUUUUACAAACCCUAAUGAUCCCACAAAUACCUCAAAGAUGGUUCUUCUACAACCCCUAAUGAUCCCACAAAUACCUCCUAAAUAUUAGUAGAAGGUACUGUGGAAAGUCUGGUAUAAAAAAUAUACAGUUUGACUUCCAAAGGCAGCCGAUGAUCCACCAGUAAAAUAUACAUCGUUCUUUUGUACUCUUAAAAUAUUUGUAGCCCAAAAAAAUGUUUUCCUGCGUA
Long non-coding RNA from Drosophila miranda, 652 nucleotides. RefSeq lists it as uncharacterized. The record is from RefSeq and is a predicted model, not a curated record. The transcript has 3 exons. NCBI's taxonomy places the organism in Eukaryota, Metazoa, Arthropoda, Insecta, Diptera, Drosophilidae.